Non-coding RNA from Podarcis lilfordi (Lilford's wall lizard), 81 nucleotides. The record is from the annotation of a GenBank genome assembly. NCBI's taxonomy places the organism in Eukaryota, Metazoa, Chordata, Lepidosauria, Squamata, Lacertidae.
GCCAAGAGGAUAGCUCAGUCGGUAGAGCGUGAGACUCUUAAUCUCAGAUCAGGGUCAUGGGUUUGAGCCCCAUGUUGGGCA